GAAGGGCAUUGGAAUGGUGAUAUGAUUGGACUUCAGUCAUCUUGUGGGGAGUAACUGUUCUCUUAACCCUAAGUGAUCUUCUACAUUUUUUUUUCCUAAUCACUCAUAGUCAUGAUUUGCUCUUAAUGUUUCACAUGAACAUACACGUUCACAUUUCUCCAUCAGCUUGUCAUCGGUGCCAUUUGGCUCAGCGGCAGCUAACUGCAUUUAGAGUUGUGGCAAGUCCAACAGCAACAACAAGCAGGCCCAAUCCUCUUAUCUCUGCUGUGCGUCGCAGGGACAGUCCAUCUGUCAGUUUGCUUUGCUCUACGCAGGCUGACCACGAGCUCCUAGUAUACCUCCGCCUCCCCCCCACAUCACACUGAGAGGAUGUGGAGCAAAGACACAAUGGAUGCAGAUAUUUCAGGUUGAUGGGGUUCAGUUGAGAGCACCAACAACAUGUUAGAGAUGAAGAGAAGAAGACGAAGAAGUAGCUCACAAGCAGCUUAGAUUUUCCCAGCUGCAUCACUAAUGACAUCAACGACGGAGCUGCCAGAACCCAAAGCCUGAACGUCAGCACGAGGAGGAAGAUGCUGCCGGAGAAAGUGUGUGAGUGUCUCAACAGGGCAGAGAGGCAGACAGACGGAGAUAACGGCCACAUUUUCUCAGAGUAUUAUGAAGUUCAAGUGAAGGAUCGAAGAGGGGAGGCUUUGAUGUGUUUGUUUACAGAAAGGGAGCUCAAGGCCCCUGUUUGACAGUUUCCCUUUUUGACACGCAAGCUUUCAUCAAUCCAACUCCCAUAGGAUUAAACGCAGCAGCAAAAAUGUUCCCCGUGUCCCAGAGUGCCUCUCUCUCAAUUUACGAUCUCCUGAAUAAGAUACAUAGCCUUUGCUAGAAAUGACAGACUUACUGAACACUGACAGUCUCACAAGAGUGAAUAUUGUUUUUAUUGUAGUGAAUAUAUUGCAGCUAACACAACAUACUGCUCAAGGUUAGCAUUCUGUCAUGGAUGGAUGGAAGAGAGACUACGUUACAAAGCAUGUAUCUCUGCGUCAUCAGAAUAAAGAGAACUGCAUACCUCUAUAUGUUUUUGUUUUUAAUAGUAAACCCAAUGAUCCAAAGUCUAAUCUCAGGUAUGAGUUAACAUCCAUUUUCUGUUGGAUUAGAUAAUCUUAUUCUGUGCAGAUUAUAUGUAGGCCUAAUGAUUACUUACUAAUUACUCGUUUGGUAUUUAUUAAUCAUUUAAAUCCCAAUUGAGUUGCAGCUUCUUAAUAAAAAUAUAAAGAAAGAACUUGGAUUAUAAAAUAGUAUAUUUCAAUCAAAGACUAACAGAAAGACUGACUUUUAACUAUUUAUUGUAGUCCUACACUUCACAAAAUUGCUAUUUUGUAGCUUUGUGUGCCUUUUGCUAGAGAUGAGUUUCUCUUUUACGGAAUAAUUUGGAGUGGUUUAUAAGCAAGGAGGAUGAGAACCAAUGUUUCUAUCCUCCUAACUUGAGUAUGACCAUUAAUAGACCUCCAAAUUUGGGAAAUAACUAAUAAUAUAAUUAAAUAAUAAUAAUAUCAAUGGGGAACAAAUGUACCUUAACAGUGACGCACAUCUUGUUGUUGGUCUAAAACCAUAUAAUCUUUAUUUGGUAACCACAAUCCAGCAUCGUUGUAACUAGGGGGCUUCUCAGUGUGAACCAAUAACAAGGAUCUUGAUCAAACAGAGAUUAGUUGAAGUUUGUUAUUAUUUCUCUAUUUCCAUCACCCAAAAGAGUAUUGUACUUGAAGUAAUUGCAGAAUUUAUGUGCAUUUUAUUCUAAACUUUGCAAUUUUGCUGCAUAAUAUUUCAGAGGAAUUUAUUUGAGCUAUAUGUGCGCUAAUAAACCACAGACUGUGGUAGACUCAACUUUAGCAGAAAAUAUGACUACAAGUUGUGUACAUAAAACAAGAUUAUUUUUUUUAUGUUUCCCAUAUAGGUGAAUUACUAUAAUCACCCAGUAAUAAAGAACAUUGCAAUGUCAUUUGUUUAUUUAUGUUAGUACGUCCGUGCAUGCAUGUGUAAAAGAAACUGUGAGGCAGACGGUUGGGCCCUUAGGCUGCUUUUUAUUUGGAGGUGAUCAUCAGAAAGUUAGCUCUACAUCUGUCUGGUGUUUAUCUGUCUUCCCCUCCAUAGAUCUGCCUGCCAGGUCCUUUCUCUCGCUCUUUGGCUCUCUCUUCUCUCAUUUUGUUUCUCUAUUCCCAUUCUAAACCAGCCUGGUGCCAGGCCAACGCCAGCUGCCCGGUGCAGAUGAAGGGAUCUACUCCACAGUGAGCUGAACGUUGGGUCAGCAUGUUCUGAUCUCCCGCUCAAGAAAGUUGAUGUUAACGCGAUCACGUGUGAUACCAGCGAGAGAACACAAUUGAAUAAGCAUCCAUCUGUUUUUCCUGCCCAUCACACUUAUAUCAACUCUAUAUCAGUCGUACCACUCCUCAAUUUUGGGGGAAUGCUUUAGACAGCAGCAAAGCAAUAUCCCAGAUGUUCCAAUGGUAGUAUAACAAAUAUGAACUAAUGAUGGGCCAGUAUUCUGCAGCUCAAUUGGCAGGGCUGGAAGGGUUGCUUAACCCAGAUCAGCAAAGGGCGAGUCAUGAGCAGUAUUAGUGUUUGUGUGUGUCUGUGAUAUAACGUAUUUACUAAGGGAUCAAAUGUCAGUCUCUGUUUUGGACAUAACAAAAUUCUCUGUUUUUCAUAUGUUAUGUAAGUCAUUUUAUUUAGAAGCUGUAAAUCAAACCUUUUGUGUUUGUGUUUGUAUGUGUGUGUGUGUGUGUGUGUGUGUGUGUGUGUGUGUGUGUGUGUGUGUGUGUGUGCGUGCGUGCGUGCGUCCGUGUGUGUGUUACAACGUAUUUUAAGUCUCUGAUUUAAGACAUCAAACGCCAGGAAAAUGUGUGUUCUUUUUGUAGUCUUUCAAUUUUGUGUCAUUUUUUUUACUCAGUGGCUCCAAAUAAAAAAUGUAUGUGGACUGCGGUGUUUGUUUCUCCAGACAGCCGAUAUCUGAUACCGUAUUCAUUGUACUGCAGAGGGUUGUUAGGUCGCACUAACUAUGUCGCUGCAUCCAUUCACCACACCCUCAAUACUUUGGCUUUCUCUCCGAUACAGACUUUAGGGAUGAAUGUAUGAAAAUUACUGGCUGUGAAAACAGAAUGCAUGAGGAGCACUGGACGGAGCAAUAGAAAGAAAAAUAUACUGAACUGACUUUUGCCACAUUUCUUUUGUGCAGUCACUAGCGUGACUAUAGUUUUGAAUUUGCACUGUUGUCUUUUUUUGGGUCCGUAUCUGUUUACUUUUUCCUGCACAGCAAUGACAGUGUAUUAUGUCGCUAUGAAUUGUGUAUGAAAAAAGGAGAAGGUUAGGAAAUGCAACAACCCUCAAGUGAUGCUCCCUUAAUUGAUAUAACAUCAAGGCCAAAGGGACAGUUAUUCUGCACACAUGGCUGUGUUUACCCCCCCCCCCCCCACACACACACACACUAAAUCUUGAUCGAUGGACCUUCCUUCCUUCUCAUUUCUGUGUUAAAUUAUCAAGCAAGCACAGGUUCAGACAAUAGAAAGAUUUACACUUUCUUAUCUUGCACACAAACACACAUGCAUAUGCAUGCAUACAGACACACUUAACCAACAUAAAUAGUGAGAUACCAUCUUUAAAUCUCUUCUGACCAAUGGGUUGGAAAUAGUUUUGUAAUUGUAAAAUCAAGGAUCCUUGGCUUGAAACACUAAUAUCUUUCCCUUACGACAGAUCCCUCCCUUAAACCAGAUGAUCAUUUGCAUUUAGAUUAUGCCUUAAGAACAGAGAAAUUUAAAAUAUAUGUAUUAUUGCCAUGUUGAUCAUUUAGUUUACUUGAAGAGCGUUUGCGGUCUAUGAAGUUUUGCUUUUUUAAAUUAUUACGUACACAAGAAGUAUACUGUUUUUUUCUUUGGUUUUUGAUUUUUCAAAUGAAUUUCUUGUAAUGUAAACACUUCCAUUACAGUAUUUAACAAUGUUAUUAAGUGCAGUGUAUAAAAACCAAUAAACACAAAGCUAAUGGAGCUGUCUAGUUCUAAUUUA
This is a long non-coding RNA of Pungitius pungitius (ninespine stickleback), 4044 nucleotides long. RefSeq lists it as uncharacterized. The transcript has 2 exons. The record is from RefSeq and is a predicted model, not a curated record. NCBI's taxonomy places the organism in Eukaryota, Metazoa, Chordata, Actinopteri, Perciformes, Gasterosteidae.